Molecule: long non-coding RNA, 2343 nt
Organism: Megalobrama amblycephala (Wuchang bream)
Lineage: Eukaryota; Metazoa; Chordata; Actinopteri; Cypriniformes; Xenocyprididae
Exons: 2
Source: RefSeq, a predicted model, not a curated record
CAGAGUGAAACAGGUAAUGGAGAGCACGCAGUUCUUAAGAGAUAUUUUGCAGAUUUAAAGUUUGCCAGUUUAUUAUGCACCAACCGAAAAGGCAUAAGGGUCUUGACCAGCAGAGCAACAUGGAUCUACCAGUUUCAGAAAAUGAACCAGAUCAGCUCUCAACUGAUGGGGGUAAAACUGAUGAAAUGUUGAAAUCAAAGGCACGUGCUCAAAGUGUAAAUACGUAAAUUACGGGUCGAGUUUUUUAUUAUGUUUUAAGUAGCUGUUUGUUUGUCUUUAGUUAUUUAAAAUGAUAUGCAUCACAGUUCACAGUUAAACAAUGCUUUUGUGUUGUUGUGUUAGUUCAAGAAGGUUUAGGCAGUAUUUAUAAUAAAGCAUGAUAGGGUAUGUGAAACAGGGCAGAUCAAGACAAAUCAUCUUUUUUUUUUUAAGAAAAUGACUAAAUCUAUAAACCAAUGACUGAUUUUACGACUAAAAAUUACUGACGAAAUUUUCUAAAAGUGGCUAUUUACUGAUUGAUUAACCAGAUAUGAUCAGAUCAGUGUGUCGGCUCCCCUUGUGUACAAUAAGUGUAUAAUAUAUGAAAACAGCAGAAGGACAUGGGAUUUAUACACCUGCAAAUGGUAAAAUGGUUUCACGUCUUGGAAUAGAGAAUGAAUUUCAGUGGGAAUGUACCUAAAUUGGCCCUCUAAGGAUAGAAAUAUAUUGUUUUACUCACAUUUUACUAACAUCUGUACAUUUACUCUACUCACAGUAGAUAUAUAUUAUAGAAUACAUCAGUUAGUUCAUAAGUUGAUAUUCAGUCCAACAGCGUAGGGACUGUUUACUGUUUGUAUCACUCCGUGCGUCUACAUGACAGUAGGUGGCGAUUCAUUCAGUAACCGACUCAAGAAUCAUUCAUUCAACUGAUUUGUUCAAAACACUGAUUCGUUUAGGAGCAAAACGCCAUUGCAGGUAGAGAAUGUGGGUCUAUUAGCAGAAAAUCAGAUCAGAUUGGCAAAUUUCCUAAUUAGUUUAGAGGCCAAUCGUGUGACAUUAAAAAAAUAAGAUGAUUUUAGACAGCAUUUAAACAGUAAACAACCUGCAAUUUGAAUUUCUGUGACAAGUAAUAUGAAAUGCAAACAGGUCAUGACAUAAAUUACUUGUCCUACAAUACAUAGGGCUGAAUAUGGCAUUUCUGGGAUAAAGCACUUUCAAAUCAAUGCAACGUUGUAAAUAACCUCUUGAUUUUUUUCUUAUUAGAUGACUUCUGUUGGAAUGGAUCUACAGUGAUGACUGUUUGUAGUGCUCAACUCCAGUCCUGGGGACUCACAGUGCUGCACAUUUUGUUUCUCUCUCUUAUUUGAUAGACCUAGUAUCUGAAACGUAUUCAAUCAUUCAUCAUGUUCUGGAACUUAAGUGGCCAGAAAUCACAAGAUGUCAAGAAAAAACUUUGCCAUGCACGGUACAUUAAUUGCAUAUUACAUCAAAUUUGGUAGUUAAACUUAAAGUGUUGCACAUUUAGUUGGUGCAUUUACAAAAAAAGUAUUUUAAAACUUAAUUAGAAGCAUCGCAAUUACUAAAAUGUGUUGUCUGUUACAUAGGGACUACUGAACAUACAUUUAAAAGUGCAAAGUAUUAAUAAUUUGUUAAGAAAGCUCUGUAUAUACUUGUAAUUUUACACCACUAUGAUGUAAGUGUAUUGAAUGAUCAAAAGUUCUACACACACUUGCGAUCUUCACUCCCACUUCAACCAAAUACAGGAAAUACAUGAUUUAAGUAAAUGCAUCAAGCUUAAUUUUUUGUAUUGGGACCGGCCCUAUUUUUGCAUGUCACCUUCUGAUGAUGUCUGGCAGAACUCAAGUCACCUAAACUGAGGUGGUUAUUUUGCCUAAUAAGCAUCUGCAAAAAUAAGAUGCUCUUACCGCUCACAGCUUAGAAUGUGUCGGCGAUUGGCCAUGACCUCUUUAAACUCAGGAUGUAGAAGAAUGUCCUUUUCUGUCUGUUUGAGAACACAAAAAGUAUUAGUAUAGUUCUUAGUUUUAAAUAAUUAAGGUCUGACUGCAAACGAUUCUGCAUAAAUGAUAAAGUAAGACACAAUGUGUCAACUUCAUCUUUUACAUAGUAUUGAUGGGAGGAAUGGAGCUUUUCAAAACUCAAUAAAUUCAAAUGAAUCAAUGAUUUGCAAAAUUAUUCACUGUUUCAAAGAGAAAUGCCACAUGCUGAUGACACCUACUGGUCAAAAUGGUGUAAAUGUAGCAAGAAUGCAGUGCAAACAUGUAAUGACACCUAUUACAAAUCGAUUGCAAAUGUUGCAAUUGUUAUUAUAUGUAAUGUACCAUUAAAUAUGAAGUGUCUGUAAAA